GGCUCGGUAGUGUAGUGGUUAUCACGUCAGUCUCACAUUAGCAUCCUUGCUAUCUGAUCACUGAAGGUCCCGGGUUCAAAACCCGGCUGAGUCA
Non-coding RNA from Aaosphaeria arxii CBS 175.79, 94 nucleotides. The record is from the annotation of a RefSeq genome assembly. Lineage: Eukaryota; Fungi; Ascomycota; Dothideomycetes; Pleosporales.